UUGAAGUCUUUUAUGACUGAGUGGCGGACGGGUGAGUAACGCGUGGGUAACCUGCCUCAUACAGGGGGAUAGCAGCUGGAAACGGCUGGUAAUACCGCAUAAGCGCACGGUAUCGCAUGAUACAGUGUGAAAAACUCCGGUGGUAUGAGAUGGACCCGCGUCUGAUUAGCUAGUUGGUGAGGUAACGGCCCACCAAGGCGACGAUCAGUAGCCGACCUGAGAGGGUGACCGGCCACAUUGGGACUGAGACACGGCCCAGACUCCUACGGGAGGCAGCAGUGGGGAAUAUUGCACAAUGGAGGAAACUCUGAUGCAGCGACGCCGCGUGAGUGAAGAAGUAGUUCGCUAUGUAAAGCUCUAUCAGCAGGGAAGAUAGUGACGGUACCUGACUAAGAAGCUCCGGCUAAAUACGUGCCAGCAGCCGCGGUAAUACGUAUGGAGCAAGCGUUAUCCGGAUUUACUGGGUGUAAAGGGAGUGUAGGUGGCCAGGCAAGUCAGAAGUGAAAGCCCGGGGCUCAACCCCGGGACUGCUUUUGAAACUGCAGGGCUAGAGUGCAGGAGGGGCAAGUGGAAUUCCCAGUGUAGCGGUGAAAUGCGUAGAUAUUAGGAGGAACACCAGUGGCGAAGGCGGCUUGCUGGACUGUAACUGACACUGAGGCUCGAAAGCGUGGGGAGCAAACAGGA
Molecule: ribosomal RNA, 684 nt
Filed under: uncultured bacterium
Lineage: Bacteria
Description: bacterial SSU rRNA
Rfam family: Bacterial small subunit ribosomal RNA
Source: RNAcentral